Molecule: unclassified non-coding RNA, 287 nt
Filed under: Hevea brasiliensis (rubber tree)
Lineage: Eukaryota; Viridiplantae; Streptophyta; Magnoliopsida; Malpighiales; Euphorbiaceae
Source: RNAcentral
CUGAGCAUAUGUAUCUCUCUUAUAUGAAAAUGCUAGAUUACCAUUAUGUUCCUGAAGAGAAUCCAGUCUUUCUGAAUGACAAGAUGUCAAAGAUUGAUAAAGAUGCGGUGGUAAGAUUCAUUGUUAUUGGAACAAAGUGGCUUGAUUCAGAAAGGGAGUUUCAGGCAUUGGUUAGUUUGGAGGGCGAUUAUCUUGGCCCAGUGUCCUAGAGGCCUGCGUUGUACUUUCCUGGAGAUACAUGUAAAUCUUUGUAACUUCUACAGUUGAACUUAGCUUAAGUGGAGGCA